This 3110-nucleotide long non-coding RNA is filed under the name Homo sapiens (human). RNAcentral describes it as "HSALNT0308619". Lineage: Eukaryota; Metazoa; Chordata; Mammalia; Primates; Hominidae. The record is from RNAcentral.
UCAAUUAUUCUCAUAAUGAUUUGUUAUGGAACUUGUCUCCUUCUGGCAUAGGAUUAUGAAUUGUAUUUUGUUGUCUUGUCUCUUUAGUAUCCUUUAAUUGGGAAUGAAUUCUCAGCUAAUCUUUGUCUCUUACACUAUUGAGGAACAGAGAUCAUUUAUUUAAUGGACCAUGCAUCGCUUUGAAUUUUUUCUGAGGUUUCUGAGGUUAGGCAUCCAUAGACAGAAAACUACAAAACUGAUCUCUCCUCAAAGUGUCAUAUACAGAGGAACAAAACGUUUUCGUGCCCUUCAUUCAUGACAUUAUCACUGUUAGCAGAAUUUUUAGCAUAUUAUUUAUACACAAUCAUAUUCACAACUUUCAAAUGUGAAAUCUGAUCAGUUUUGGCAAAUGUAUACAACUGUUUAAACCAUCACCAGAAUCAAGAAAUAGAAUGCCUCCAGCACCCUCCAAAAUGGUCUCCUACCCCUUCUUCAGCAGACAAUUACCUCCCCCAUCCCUUGCCCCUGACAAACUUAAAACCAUUCAUUUGCUUUCUCUCACUAUAGUUUGUCUUUUCUAGAAUGUCACAGAAAUGAAAUCAUGUAGUACAUGAGCAUUUGUUCCUGGCUUCUAUCACUUAGCAUAAUGUUCUUGAGAUCUAUUCAUAUUUCUUCACCUAGUAGUGGUUUUGUUGUCAUUGUUUUGCUGAGCAGUAUCCUGUCUUAUUGAUAUGCCACUAUUUAUUUAUUCAUUAGCCAGUUAAACAUCAAAUUUCUUACAUAUUUUGGUUAUUUUAAAUAAAGCUGCUAUGAACAUUCAAGUGCGAAUCUUUGUGUGGCAAUGUUUGCUCACUUCUGUAAGGCAAAUACCUAACAGUGGAAUUUCUGGUAAAUGAAUAUUUGCCUUUAUCAGAAAACGCCAAAUGGCUUCCCGAACCAAAUAUAGCAGUUUGCAUUUCUACUAACUAGGUAUAUGUGUAUGAGAGUGCUAGUUGUUCUAAUCUUCAGCAGCAAUUGAUAUUGAUAAUGUCAACCUUCUUAAAUUUUAACGAAGCAAAUGAGUGCACAAUGAUAUCUCAUUGUGGUUUUCACUUUCAUUUCCCUUAUGAUUAAAAAUGUUGAACAUCUUUUUAUGUGAUUAUUUAAUAUCCAUUCAUCUAUCUUCUCUGAUUAUAUGAUUGUUCAAAUAUAUUACGUGUUAUUUUAAAUAGAGCUGUUUGUCUUUUUAAAAUUAAGCUGAAAAAAUUUUUUAUUCAAUCUGGAUAUACCUCCUGUAUCAGACACAUUUUGCAAAUACUUUCAUACUGACAUAUGCUAAAAUAUGUCAAAUACUAAGGUCUGGGGUCUGUCUUAAUUUUUUAAUGGUAUGUUUUGAAGAGCAAAGUCGUUCACUUUGAUGAAGUCUGAUUAUCCAAAUGUUUUCAUUAAAGGUAUUUGUAUCUGUGUGCAUGCCCAUUUGCAAUGGUUGAUUUUGCGUGUCAACUGGGCUGGGCAGAAUCCCCAGAUAUUUGGUCAAGCAUUAUCUGGGGUGGAUCUGUGAAGGUGUUUGGGAUCAUAUUCAAGGUUGACCUUUCUGAUGUAGGUAGGCCUCAUCCAGUCAGCUGAGACCUGAAUUAAACAAAAUGCCUGAAUAAGAGGGAAUUUCCUCCUGCGUGACUGCCUUGAGGUGGAACAUCAGUGUUUUUGCUGCCAUCAGACUCAUACUGAAACGCUGGUCUUUCUGGAUCCCAAGCCUCUAGGCCUUUGGACUGGAACUGCACCAUCAGCAUUUCUGUGUCUCCAGCUUGUCAACUGCAGAUCUGGGGACUUGUCAGCCUUCAUGAUGACCACAACACUGACUUUGACUGAAAGACAAAGGAAGUCAUAGCACCUCAAAGCUUGGUGAAUAAUGAAACAAAUGAUGAUACAUCCACACCACAGAAUCCUACUCAGCAAGAAAAAUAAACUAUUACUGCCUGCACAAAUUGGAUAAACCUCAAGGGAGUUACUCUGAGUGGAAAAAGCCAAUAUCAAAAGGUUAUAUUGCUAUAUCAUCCCACCUCUAAUACAGUUUUGAAAUGGAAAAAUUAAUGAGAUGGAGAAACAAAUUUGUGGUUUCCAGGUUUCGGGAAUAAAGGAGCAAGGAAGUUGGCAGCAUCUACAAAAUGAUAGCACAAAGGAGCCCUGUGAUGGAAGUGACCUGUACUUUGAGUGCAGUGGUGAGUCUACACAUGCGAUGAUAUUACACAGAAUGAAGUACACACACCGCACACACGAAUGUAUGUAAAACUGGCAAAAUCUGAAUAAGGUCAGUGGAUUUUAUCUGUGUCAGUUUUUAAAUUGUGAUAUUUUACUACAGUUGUAUAAAAUAUGACCAUUGGGAGAAACUAGAUGAAGCUUUCAUGGGAGCUUACGUGGCUUUGCAUUUUUUCUUAUAACUGCAUGGGAAUCUAUAAUUACGUCAAAAUAAGAAGCUUAUAAAGCAAAUGAACAUUAAAUAUUUUAAAAACAGGAAUGCUGGCUUGUAUCAUAGUGUAAGUACUUUAUCAGAGAUACUCCUAAAUAUUUUACUUCAUGUAUUUAAUUAGAAUAGAUCUUUGCAUUAAGAAAGCAAGAUUCACUUUAAUGCUGCUUCUGAAAGUUGCUUCGUAGAGAGAGAGAAUGGAAUGAAACACAUGGUACAGUCCUGUUUCAUAAUAGAUUUCAAGGUACAUUCUUUAAAGGUUAUGUUAAAAGUUGAUUGUCUUAAAUCUUUAUUUUAUAAAGAGACUUUAAAAUUUAAGUGAUCAUGACUUUUGCAUAUUUUAUGUAUAUUACGGGAACAUUUAACUAAAAACUUAUGAAAGAAUAAGAGAUGUUCUAAAUCACCAAGGCAGUUUUACGUGCUUUAGAUUUUGCAUUAAUAGAGACACUUUAACCAAAGAGCAUUUCAUGUUUGUCUUUCCCUCACCUCCAGUUCUUCAAUUUAAUAUGUGGUUACCCUCUUUUCAAGAGUUACAGUACCAUUUUAAAUUCCCAUUAGCGUUGUAAAAUGAUCCAGUUUUUCCAUAUCCCGGUCAGCAUUUAGGGUUAUCACUGUCGUUUUAUUUUAGUCAUUUUGAUAGGUGUAUUAGUGACAUCUCAUUGUGGUUUUAAUUUUCAUUCCUUUAAUA